This 298-nucleotide ribosomal RNA is filed under the name uncultured bacterium. RNAcentral describes it as "partial 16S ribosomal RNA". It matches the Rfam family "Bacterial small subunit ribosomal RNA", at positions 334 to 649 of the family's 1533-position model. The record is from RNAcentral.
GUGUCCUACGGGGGGCAGCAGUGGGGGAUAUUGGACAAUGGGGGGAACCCUGAUGCAGCGACGCCGCGUGGGCGAUGGAGUAUUUCGGUAUGUAAAGCCCUAUCGGCAGGGAAGAAAAUGACAGUACCUGACUAAGAAGCCCCGGCUAACUACGUGCCAGCAGCCGCGGGAAUACGUAGGGGGCAAGCGUUAUCCGGAUUCACCGGGCGUAAAGGGAGCGCAGGCGGCACGGCAAGCCUGGUGUGAAAACCCGGGGCCCAACCCCGGGAGGGCAUUGGGAGCUGCCGCGCUAGAGUGC